RNAcentral lists this ribosomal RNA (1398 nucleotides) under Triticum aestivum (bread wheat). RNAcentral's name for it is "partial small subunit ribosomal RNA". The record is from RNAcentral. Lineage: Eukaryota; Viridiplantae; Streptophyta; Magnoliopsida; Poales; Poaceae.
AUGGUGCUCCCAGAUCUGAAUAGCACUCCACCUGGAGGAGAGGAAGAUGUACAUAUGUCUGAAGAAGAGGAAGAUGUACAUAUGCCUGAAGGAGAGGAAGAUGUACGUAUACCACGGGCAAAACCAGAUCUACCAGACACUCACAAAUUUGCAGCAUAUAUUGCACUAAAAGCACUUAGCAGGGAUGGAGAAAUUGACAAGAGAGACAAAGAACGUGUAGCUGGUCUGCUGAACACAAGUGUCAGAACCGUUGAAAGAAUAUGGAAGGAGGCAAAUGCCCAGCUUGCAAGAGGAGAAGAGAUCAAUGUGUCUAAUAAAAGGAAGCGGAGAUGUGGUAGAAAGAGGGCAGACCUUGAUCUCUCGAGGAUACCUUCAAUUCCCCUCAACAAAAGGUCUACACUGAGGGCACUCGCUAGGUCUCUGGAUGUACCAUAUUCUACCUUGCGGAGAAGGUUCAAAUGGGGAAAGAUAAGGAAACACACAAACAGUCUGAAGCCCACUCUGAAACCAGAAAACAAGCUAUCAAGGCUCAAGUUUUGCAUUUCAAUGAUUGAUCAAACAACAAUAGCAGAUGCAAUGCCCUCUUUCAUUGAUAUGCAGAACAUAGUUCACAUCGACGAGAAAUGGUUUGAUAUGACGAAAAGGAACAGAACCUAUUACCUCCAUGAAGAAGAACCAGAUUCGGUGCGCACUGUUCAAAACAAGAAUAGUAUCGGCAAGGUCAUGUUCUUAACAGCAGUUGCGAGGCCACGAUUUGAUGAUCAAGGAAAUGUAACAUUUGAUGGCAAGAUAGGAGUAUGGGCCUUCAUCAAAGAAACUCCAGCAAAAAAGGAUUCCAAGAACAGACUCAAAGGGACUAAGGAACUAAAGUCGGUCACAGUUACUAGGAAUGUGAUGAGGGAAUACCUAUGUGAAAAGGUCAUUCCAGCCAUUGAAGCACAGUGGCCCGAAGACAAUCGAACCAUCUACAUCCAGCAAGAUAACGCAAGAACACAUGUUCCUCCAGAUGAUUCAGAUUUUCUAGCUGCCGUAGCAGAAUCAGAACUGGAUAUCAGGUUGAUGCAGCAGCCUGCAAAUUCACCUGAUAUGAAUGUCCUGGAUCUUUGCUUCUUCAGCUCAAUUCAGUCCUUGACGCUUGAAAGUGCACCAAACAACAUCAAGGAACUGAUAGAAUCAGUUGAAGAAGCAUAUGAUAGGUAUGAAGUGCACAAACUGGCGAGAGUGUUUAUAACCUUACAGUCAGUCCUGAUUGAGGUUAUGAGAGUUGAGGGAGGUACAGGAUACAAGAUCCCGCACAUGAACAAAGAUAGGAUGGAGAGGGAGGGGAUGCUACAUAUCAAUCUAAGAUUCGAUGCUGAGCUAUAUUGGAAAACUUUGGACAUUAUAGAGGGUCACUAA